CGGCGGACGGGUGAGUAACGCGUGGGUAACCUGCCUCAUACAGGGGGAUAACAGUUAGAAAUGACUGCUAAUACCGCAUAAGACCACGGUACCGCAUGGUACAGUGGUAAAAACUCCGGUGGUAUGAGAUGGACCCGCGUCUGAUUAGCUAGUUGGUGGGGUAACGGCCCACCAAGGCGACGAUCAGUAGCCGACCUGAGAGGGUGACCGGCCACAUUGGGACUGAGACACGGCCCAA
Molecule: ribosomal RNA, 238 nt
Filed under: uncultured bacterium
Lineage: Bacteria
Description: partial 16S ribosomal RNA
Rfam family: Bacterial small subunit ribosomal RNA
Source: RNAcentral